CAAUAGCGUAUAUUAAAGUUGUUGCAGUUAAAAAGCUCGUAGUUGGAUUUCUGGUGGGAGCGAUCGGUCUGGCGCUUAGCGCGAGUACUUGCAUCGUCUCCGGCCAUCCUUGGGGAAAGUCUGUCUGGCAUUAAGUUGUCGGGCAGAGGAUCCUCAUCGUUUACUGUGAAAAAUUAGAGUGUUCAAAGCAGGCUUAUGCCGUUGAAUAUAUUAGCAUGGAAUAAUAAGAUAGGACUUUGGUACUAUUUUGUUGGUUUGCGCACCAAAGUAAUGAUUAAUAGGGACAGUUGGGGGUAUUCGUAUUCCGUUGUCAGAGGUGAAAUUCUUGGAUUUACGGAAGACGAACUACUGCGAAAGCAUUUACCAAGGAUGUUUUCAUUAA
RNAcentral lists this ribosomal RNA (382 nucleotides) under uncultured eukaryote. RNAcentral describes it as "partial 18S ribosomal RNA". It matches the Rfam family "Eukaryotic small subunit ribosomal RNA", at positions 592 to 976 of the family's 1831-position model. The record is from RNAcentral.